This 491-nucleotide ribosomal RNA is filed under the name uncultured bacterium. RNAcentral's name for it is "partial 16S ribosomal RNA". It matches the Rfam family "Bacterial small subunit ribosomal RNA", at positions 29 to 507 of the family's 1533-position model. The record is from RNAcentral.
GUGAACGCUGGCGGUAGGCCUAACACAUGCAAGUCGAACGGCAGCACAGUAAGAGCUUGCUCUUACGGGUGGCGAGUGGCGGACGGGUGAGGAAUACAUCGGAAUCUACUUUUUCGUGGGGGAUAACGUAGGGAAACUUACGCUAAUACCGCACACGACCUACGGGUGAAAGCAGGGGAUCUUCGGACCUUGCGCGAUUGAAUGAGCCGAUGUCGGAUUAGCUAGUUGGCGGGGUAAAGGCCCACCAAGGCGACGAUCCGUAGCUGGUCUGAGAGGAUGAUCAGCCACACUGGAACUGAGACACGGUCCAGACUCCUACGGGAGGCAGCAGUGGGGAAUAUUGGACAAUGGGCGCAAGCCUGAUCCAGCCAUACCGCGUGGGUGAAGAAGGCCUUCGGGUUGUAAAGCCCUUUUGUUGGGAAAGAAAAGCAGCAGGUUAAUACCCCGCUGUUCUGACGGUACCCAAAGAAUAAGCACCGGCUAACUUCGUG